RNAcentral lists this long non-coding RNA (611 nucleotides) under Homo sapiens (human). Its description in RNAcentral is "non-protein coding lnc-RBM11-5:1". The record is from RNAcentral. Lineage: Eukaryota; Metazoa; Chordata; Mammalia; Primates; Hominidae.
GUAAUCCUGCAGAAGAUGCAGUCCUGAUGAAAGAAGUGAAUAUUCCAACUAACUUAAUUUAUUCCCACCUCAGCCAUUGGAAUGGAAGUUUGAAGCAGAAAAUUCCACAUUGUGAAUAACUUUGAAGAUGCUACCAAAAUGUUGGUAUUAUCUCAAAGAAAAAUAUACAGAAUUUCCUGAAAGCUAAUUGAAGUUGUCUGCCUCUUCCAACUACAUAUGUGUAUACAUCCAGGCUUUCUUCAUCUACUUCAAUCAAAACAAAAUAUCUCAACAGAUUGAAUAAAGAAGCAGGUGAGAAAGUGAGCCCUGAGAUGUUCAUGACUUGCUGGUAAGCAGUGGAGGCCACAAUUUAAGCCCACAGUCUUACAUUAAAGCCUAUGUGCUUAAUCACUCUGCUAUGGGAGUUCCUCUAGAAUGUGGUAUUUGAAUGGAACAAAGCAGCAUGCAGUAGUCAGAAACCAUAGGUUCACAAUACUUAAAGAGACGAGGAAUAGGAAGAACAAAUCUCACAGGGAAUAUGCUUGAUAGAUGAGGUACAUUGACUACACGAAAUGCAGUCCAGAGAAAAGUGCCUCAUUUUUCAGUAAAGUGACAUAUUCCUGGUUUAGCAG